RNAcentral lists this transfer RNA (73 nucleotides) under Brassica napus (rape). Its description in RNAcentral is "tRNA-Tyr (GTA) (tRNA-Tyr-GTA-2 1 to 4)". It matches the Rfam family "tRNA". From Rfam's summary of the family: Transfer RNA (tRNA) molecules are approximately 80 nucleotides in length. Their secondary structure includes four short double-helical elements and three loops (D, anti-codon, and T loops). Lineage: Eukaryota; Viridiplantae; Streptophyta; Magnoliopsida; Brassicales; Brassicaceae. The record is from RNAcentral.
CCGACCUUAGCUCAGUUGGUAGAGCGGAGGACUGUAGAUCCUUAGGUCACUGGUUCAAAUCCGGUAGGUCGGA